RNAcentral lists this long non-coding RNA (4007 nucleotides) under Oncorhynchus mykiss (rainbow trout). Its description in RNAcentral is "lncRNA (ENSOMYG00000073954.1)". Lineage: Eukaryota; Metazoa; Chordata; Actinopteri; Salmoniformes; Salmonidae. The record is from RNAcentral.
CUCAGCAGACUGUGGAGUGUCCUAACAGAGUGGUCUUCUUCUAUAUGUCUCAGCAGACUGUGGAGUGUCCUAACAGAGUGGUCUUCUUCUAUAUGUCUCAGCAGACUGUGGAGUGUCCCAACAGAGUGGUCUUCUUCUAUAUGUCUCAGCAGACUGUGGAGUGUCCCAACAGAGUGGUCUUCUUCUAUAUGUCUCAGCAGACUGUGGAGUGUCCCAGCAGAGUGGUCUUCUUCUAUAUGUCUCAGCAGACUGUGGAGUGUCCCAACAGAGUGGUCUUCUUCUAUAUGUCUCAGCAGACUGUGGAGUGUCCCAGCAGAGUGGUCUUCUUCUAUGUCUCAGCAGACUGUGGAGUGUCCUAACAGAGUGGUCUUCUUCUAUAUGUGUCAGCAGACUGUGGAGUGUCCCAGCAGAGUGGUUCUAUAUGUCUCAGCAGACUGUGGAGUGUCCUAACAGAGUGGUCUUCUUCUAUAUGUCCCAGCAGACUGUGGAGUGUCCCAACAGAGUGGUCUUCUUCUAUAUGUCUCAGCAGACUGUGGAGUGUCCCAACAGAGUGGUUCUAUAUGUCUCAGCAGACUGUGGAGUGUCCCAACAGAGUGGUUCUAUAUGUCUCAGCAGACUGUGGAGUGUCCCAGCAGAGUGGUCUUCUUCUAAAUGUCUCAGCAGACUGUGGAGUGUCCCAGCAGAGUGGUCUUCUUCUAUAUGUCUCAGCAGACUGUGGAGUGUCCCAACAGAGUGGUCUUCUUCUAUAUGUCUCAGCAGACUGUAGUGUCCCAACAGAGUGGUCUUCUUCUAUAUGUCUCAGCAGACUGUGGAGUGUCCCAGCAGAGUGGUCUUCUUCUAUAUGUCUCAGCAGACUGUGGAGUGUCCCAGCAGAGUGGUCCUGAAUUUCCCAGUUGAAAUACCCCAGCUGUAUAUCUGACUGGUUGUAUUUUCUCAAAAUAAUGGACCGUUAAUGAACAACUAACAUAGGGAAGUGUGUGUGCAUUCCUGGACAUGGGUGGGUCUGUAUGGCUGUGUGUGCAUGUGCGGCCAUCUGUGUGUGUGUGGGCGUCCGUACAUCUCUCUUACUCUCACUCUCUCUCUCUCUCUGUGUGUGUAAAGGUUGUACUGGUACUAACAGCCAACAGUAGUGCAUCCAUCCGCCCUCUCCUUCCCCUGUCCAUGGAAUCUUACUCAUUAUGAUAGAAAAAGACAAAUGAAUUCUAGAUCAGCAUUACUCUGUGACACUCUGUGAAUUCAGGCCCAGAAGUCUUGUGUUAGUUCAGCUCCCUGAGCUAAUGUUGCCCUAGAUCAAAUGUAGUCUUAUAGGGCUACAACGACCCAGGUUCAAACCCAGUCAAAAGCCUACAUAUGACAUUACAAUGAGUGGGGUAAACAUAGAGAUCCUAUAAUGGAAUCCUAUGGGUGUAAAUACAUUUUGGGCUCCUGAGUGGCGCGGCGGUCUAAGGCACUGCAUUUCAGUGCUAGAGGGGUCACUACAGACCCUGGUUCGAUCCCGGGCUGUAUCACAACCAACCGCGAUCGGGAGUCCCACAAUUGGCCCAGCCAAUUGUUCUUAACUGACUUGCUUAGUUAAAUAAAGGUUAAAUAUUAUUAUAAUAUAUGUUUUACAUCUAUCCCUGGAUGUCCACUCUUAGGCUGCGUUGACACAGGCAGCCCAAUUCUGAUAUUUUUUCCACUAAUUGGUCUUAACAAUCACAUCAGAUAUUUUCAAAUCAGAUCUUGUUCAGAGCUGAACUGAUUGGACAAAAUACCAAUUAGUGGGGGGAAAAAAAGUUCAGAAUUGGGCUGCCUGUGUAAAUGCAGCAUUAAAUGUCCAGCUUCUAACAGGCAGACUAAAACAGAUGUCUGUAAUAUUCGUCCCUCAACCCAGAAUCCUGCUCUGUAGUUUUAUGUGAGUUUUAACAGUGGCCUGGUAACGUUUAGAGUUCUAUCUAAAAAGGAGUCCAGUGUAUUAGGAUGGAUCUGGCCUGUUAAACAUCAGACAGCGUGUGUUGUGUGUGUCUGUCUGUUCAGAGAAACGAUCAGAUGAAUCUACCGUCUGUUUCUAGAGAAAUAUUUAGAAAAAGGAUGUUAGGCGAGACUCUCUCUCUCACACAGCACCGUUAAUAAUUACAUAUCGUUUUUAUUUUCGAGUGUUUGUGUGUGGUGACUGUAUGCGAGUAACGCUGUAGGAGUAAGUCAGUAUCGCCACCUGCUGUCAGGAACAAGAACAGCAGAGGUGAGAAUUAGUAAGAGAUUAUCAACGAGGGGCUAUUAAAAAUAAUCAACGAUUUGUUUAUUUUUAUUUCACCUUUAUUUAACCAGGUAGGCUAGUUGAGAACACCUUUAUUUAACCAGGUAGGCUAGUUGAGAACAAGUUCUCAUUUGCAACUGCGACCUGGCCAAGAUAAAGCAAAGCAGUUCGACACAUACAACAACAGAGUUACACAUGGAGUAAAACAAACAUACAGUCAAUAAUACAGUAGAAAAUAUAGAACAAAAAGUCUAUAUACAGUGAGUGCAAAUUAGGUCAAUUAAGGCAAUAAAUAGGCCAUGGUGGCGAAGUAAUUACAAUAUAGCAAUUAAACACUGGAAUGGUAAUGUGCAGAAGAUGAAUGUGCAAGUAGAGAUACUGGGGUGCAAAGGAGCAAGAUAAAUAAGAGAUGUGUGUCCCACGACGUGCUAGCGGAGGGGAUCUGACCUGCCAUUGAGUUACAUCCCUUUCCAGAGAGAACACAUAGAGCCCAGAGUUGAUUAUCCCUUUAAUACCAUGGCUAUAAUUAAACACAUUUGCCGCAAGAUACGUGUUCAUUUACCGGUAGAAAUGUGUUCAACAUCCACUGAAGUAGCUCGCAAGUUUACUAGAUAGCUACGGUAAAUGCAUUGGUAACCAAACAAACAGACGUACUAGUUUAGCUAACUAAACCACCCGUUCUAGCUUGCCAGUAUGAACAUCGAAUUCAACAAUUCCAAUAAUGUUUUAAAUUCGACUUUUGCUUUUAAAAAGCAGCUUCAACAUAGAACAUGGAAGAAUGAACUAUAGUCAUUGAAUUCUACCGUGCAAAUAUACCGUGCGUUAUUUAAGCAAUAAGGCCAGAGGAGGUGUGGUAUAUGGACAAUAUACCACGGCUAAGGGCUGUUCUUAUGCAUCACGCAACGCGGAGCGCCUGGAUACAACCCUUAGCCGUGGUAUAUUGGCCAGAGGAGCCGUAUUGCUAUUAUAAACGGGUUAGCAACGUAAUUAGAGCAGUAAAACGAAACGUUUUGUCAUACCCGCUGUUUACGGUCUGAUAUACCAUGACUUUCAGCCAAUCAGAAUUCAGGGCUCAAACCACACAGUUUCUAACAGUAUAUAACCAACAGGGGUCAGGAGAGGCUAAGGGAGGCACAGUAGGCUGACUGGGGAGAGAGAACCAUUUAAGGAUAGAAAAUGUAUAAAUGCUUAAUGAACUUAGUUAAACUGUCGUACCCCAUCAGAACCCAAAACACAAGCUUGUUUUACUCCAAUGUUUGUAAACAAACACUGUAAACAAACACUGUAGCCUCAAAACACAGUUAAAAAUAUAUAAUUGAAGGUCAAUCCUUGCAUCCAAAGCAUUUUCUAUGAAUUUUCGAGUGGUUACAUUUCUCUAGCCCCAUCCCUAAACUGUUUACCAAACCAGUGGUGGCUGUCCGCUUUGUUGUUGUUUCAACAGCAGAUUGCUUCUUUAAAAAUCAUCCUCCAAAUCUGAACUUAUUGAUAAUGACAACAAUGUCCUUUAAUAUUUAUAAUACCACUGAUGAUUUUAGAUGGGAGAAGAAGAUAUCUCUGAGAGAUUUAAGGAACAGCUUUACUUAUCGAUGAUGACAACAAUGUCAUUUAAUAUUUAUAAUACCACUGAUGAUUUUAGAUGGGAGAAGAAGAUAUCUCUGAGAGAUUUAAGGAACAGCUUUACUUAUCGAUGAUGACAACAAUGUCCUUUAAUAUUUAUAAUACCACUGAGGAUUUUAGAUGGGAGAAGAAGAUAUCUCUGAGAGAUUUAAGG